Tripterygium wilfordii is the source of this 789-nucleotide long non-coding RNA. RefSeq lists it as uncharacterized. The record is from RefSeq and is a predicted model, not a curated record. NCBI's taxonomy places the organism in Eukaryota, Viridiplantae, Streptophyta, Magnoliopsida, Celastrales, Celastraceae. The transcript has 2 exons.
CAGCUCAUAACACCCAUGGCCCAUACCUAUAUGCUUCGAAAACAGAGUUCUUCUACGAGUUCUCUCUACCUGUGCUUUGAUGCUGAGAUGAGGCAAAGGAUCAUCGGUGCAAAUGUGAACAAGUGCGAGCGGCGCAUCGAGGACACCAAGUAACAACCUCAAAUCGGACCGCUUGAAGGCUGAGCCAAGCCGCAGCCUCACACAAGUUCUCUACAUGUGCUUUUAGGGCUCACUUGCUCGUUCUAGAUCUUGCAAGCUUUUCGCCGUCUCGUUCUAGAUCUGCCUAAACAGGGUGUAUCAGAUGUGGAAUUGUAGAGUAAUUUGGAUUAUGCUUGUGGACAAGGGAUUGAUUGUAGUCCAAUCCAACCAGUUCCCCAGGUGAGAGCACAUGAGCUGGCAGGUUCUCUUCAUCGGUGAGGGAAUUAAGGUGGUGGAGUUCCUUUUGCUUCUAGCUUUGACAAUAAAUUCGCAGUUUGCCUAACUUCUUCAAUAAGAGCCAAUGGUGUUGUGUUUUUUGGUGAUGGUCUUCCAAACAUUGAUGUCUCUAAGAAUCUGAUUUACACACCAUUUAUUCUCAACCCUGUUGGUGCAGCCUUUGCUUAUUUUGAAGGCGAACGGUCCGCGGAUUACGAGUCGAAUCAAUCAAGAUUAAUGGAAAAGUUUUGAGAUUGCCCUCUACCCCUGUUUUUACUCUGUUUUUUUGCCUUGGGGUGUAUUGUGAAAAUGUUUCAGAUUUAGGGUACUUUUGGUGUAUUUAUAAAAAUGUUAAAUUCUAAGGGGUUCGUUUAA